GAUGAACGCUGGCGGCGUGCUUAACACAUGCAAGUCGAACGGGAAAUAUUUCAUUGAGACUUCGGUGGAUUUGAUUUAUUUCUAGUGGCGGACGGGUGAGUAACGCGUGGGUAACCUGCCUUAUACAGGGGGAUAACAGUCAGAAAUGGCUGCUAAUACCGCAUAAGCGCACAGAGCUGCAUGGCUCAGUGUGAAAAACUCCGGUGGUCUAAGAUGGACCCGCGUUGGAUUAGCUAGUUGGUGGGGUAACGGCCUACCAAGGCGACGAUCCAUAGCCGGCCGGGGAGGGUGAACGGCCACAUUGGAACUGGGACACGGCCCUGACUCCUACAGGAGGGAGCAGUGGUGAAUAAUGCGCAAUGGGGGAAUCCCUGAUGGAGCGACGCCGCGUGAAGGAAGAAGUGUCGCAGUAUGUAAACGUCAAGCAGCAAGGGAGAUAGUGACGGUACCUGAAUAAGAAGCCCCGGCUAACUACGUG
RNAcentral lists this ribosomal RNA (478 nucleotides) under uncultured bacterium. RNAcentral's name for it is "partial 16S ribosomal RNA". It matches the Rfam family "Bacterial small subunit ribosomal RNA", at positions 28 to 507 of the family's 1533-position model. The record is from RNAcentral.